Molecule: non-coding RNA, 2153 nt
Organism: Camellia sinensis
Lineage: Eukaryota; Viridiplantae; Streptophyta; Magnoliopsida; Ericales; Theaceae
Source: RefSeq, a predicted model, not a curated record
CUGAUUAGAGGAACGAAAAGAACAGGUAAAAGGAUUUGAAAUGACAGCCAGAGCAUUUAUUGCACCAGCCGGCGCGCAGGUACACGAAGCACAACCUUCGGUAUGGAAUCGACGCACCAUCUCUGUACACCUAUCCCUUGUCGCCACGUGUUACGCGAAAGGACACAUGCAAGAAUCGUGUGUCAGGAUUGAACCGUCACCAAGGCUGAACUGGGGGAGAAUUGAAACGACGCGACACUUGGAGAGCAGAACAAUAGCUCCCCCCAAGGGGAACCUUAGCGUGAGCUAGGGGGCAAAUGAAGGGGCUAAAUAUGAAAUGGGUCGGGUCUAAGCCUUGGGCCGGCCCAAUCCACUGAAGUCCAAAUCUAAGUGGGUUGGGUGAGUACAUGGGCAAGCCAGUUGAGCCCAACUUCAUGAUCAACAGUUCACCCAAGUCCUCAAGCACUUGGGCCGAACCCGCAGUGGAAAAGCUAGUUCAGCCAUGGUGCUGGGCUGGGCCGAGUUACGAAACUGAAUCUAUGGGCUGAACAGAUGACGGGCCGAGCCCAUACAAAGAUAUCUGAAUGGACCAGCUCAUCUCCAUAAAUGAUCCUGUAAAAGGCCGAGACAAGGCAUAAUGAUGCCGAGCUGAGGCACAUCGGUAUUGAGCUAAGGAAACCUCGCAGGGAAACGUGGAAGUUGUGAAUGUGUGCAUGUGCAAGUUGCCACCUCAGCUGGUCGCCUACACCUAGAAUCAUGGAAGUUGUUGAACCAAAGGAAUGUGGUUUGUUAUCAGCAUGACUACAAUGAGUAUAUGCAUUCAAUACAACUACCAAGUGGUCCCCCACUUGGAGCAAUGCUGAAAGGACACCUGGCAACAUUCAAGCUCCACGAAACCAUCUUGAGAAGCAAGUAAGGAACACUAUACAUACUCCAUAAACUUCACAUUGAAGGCAACUGAAUAGAGUAGAACUAUUCUAAUAACAUUGACAUACAAACUCAAUUAACUUCAUCUUUUCUCCGAUCACUAAUUCCCACACCGGAGGGGUUAUCUGGCCAACCCCGGCCGGACAGCUCUAACGGUGCUUCUUGUGGCAGAAAUCUCAGUCCCUGGAUGGUCCAACCGAGUGCGGAGCCCCGAUCCACUUUCAUCUAGUGCGGAAUCCGACAUUAACAGUAUUGCUCAUCAACGAAUUGCUGGAUGCCAAGGCCUUGAACUCUGGUGGUUCUGUGACUCUGGACAUACCAUGUGAUCUACCUAAUUCAGAGAAAAUGCAUGUCAAAUUUAGCAAGAUCAGUCCAAAAGAUGGAGCUAGAGCAUGUGAUUUAACUAAUCAAAGAAGCGAGCACAAUGAUGAUUAUAGUUAUAGAAGGUUAUCCAACAGGUCAUCAGAUAUGAGCACUGUUAAGUCCAUCAUCGGAUCCAGAAAUGCAUUGCUACUGAUUGCCAUAUUUUUCACAGCAAUAACUUUCCAAGUCCCAUUUCACUUCCUUGGCCCCAAAGAGGGCUACGUUCAUACCUACAUGACGGACAGCAUCCAAGUGAAUAAACAAUAUCCACUGUUUCCUUGUACGUUCCUGUUGUUCAAUUCCAUGGUGUUCAUUGCAUCAGUGAUCAUGACUCUAUUCCUACUGCAUGAAUUUCCUUUCAAGCCAUGGCCUCAAAUCUCAGUUUUGGCUCUGUUUGGUUCUUAUAUGUGCUCAAUAAAGGCAAUAUCGCCCAAUGGAGCCCGGGCUUUGCUCCUCAUAUCAAUUCCCUUUUCGUUAUUGGCAGCUGCUGGAAAACUUUAUGGCUUUGCAAGACACAAUUUUACGUGAGCACCCCCAGGUAUGUGUGAAAAAAAACCUAUAUCCAGUUUCUAGUCAAUAAUGUUUUGUGAAAACAAUCUAUCUUAUUUCGAGUUGAUUGUGCUCAUGUGUAAUUAUAUGGCUGUAUGGCUGGCUACACACAGUGGAAAGGUCUCUAUUUUAUAUUUAGUAAUGCACAAAAAACAAUUUAAUAUAUCACUAUGUCUGUGCUGAAAACUAUUUCUAAAUAAGAGUUACAAUUGAUUGUAAUAAAAGGAGUUAGAUGAAUUAGUGUGUUUUGUUCUGUUGUUUAUCCUAGAUAAUUUAAUAAUAUUUCCCUGCUCACCAAACAUUUUAAUAACAUUACUCUGCUCUUUCAAUCUUUU